CAGGGAGAAGAGGUGAGGACAGGCUAGAGAGCUCUCCUCCAUAUGGAGUUUUCAUCAGGAAAGCAAUUACCUUCCAAGAAGCUUCCUACAGAUUUCCUUUCAUGUUUCAUGGCCAGAACUGGAUCAUAUGAACACCCCUCCCUAUAAGAGAGGCUGGAAAAGUGAGCAUCUGCCUUUUUGGCCUUUAGAAAGAAAGGAGGGCAAGUGAAGGCCUUGGGAAUGGCUUUGGAGAUGGCAAAAUCUGGUUUGGCAUGGCAGAUAAAUGUUCAGAAAAAAAUGAAAUUUUAAAGUAUCAAGCCACCAUUUUUCACGUCUUGAAUAGGCAAAGAGUUUGAAGAUGAUGAUUCUCUCAAGAUUGGUAGGGUGUAACGAAAUGUCUGAUUUCACCAAGUUCAGGGCACUCUACUCAUGUGCGUUGGCCCCUCGAGCUUGGACAGAAAAUUCAGAAACGACAUCAAGGCUGCCAAUCUGAUAGAGUCAGCACCAACAUGAAUGUCAACCAGAGACCUCUUGGCAUAAUGAAAAAUAGUUCAAUGGGGAAUUUGAAGCUUUCGUAAACAAAGUGAGGAUUGAGCUUAAAAUAGGGUGAGAAUUUGAGGAGGCAUCUGUCCCCUUCUCUCUUCACCUCUGACUGCUUCUGCCUUCUUGUGCUUUGCGCCUGUUGAGAGCAAGGAAGGAAGAUGAGAAAUAAUUCUUCUAGAGCCACUUAACCUUUUGCUGGUAUUUGUUUAGAAGUGAUACAUUUUCACAUGUCAGUGAUUAUUUAGCAUGUAGUGUGUAAACUGGCUAGGAAAAAAUCUAUUUGUGUAGAUGAAGACAUAUUUUCAAUGGACUUUACCUUGAAAGUGAAAAUUGUGAAGGUAGUUUUCUAUAUGUGAAAAUUUGUUUCAUGGUUCUAUUAUUUGCAAUGCCAUUUUGAAUUUUGAGAACACUAGAGUCUGUAUUCCAUUCCUCCUCUCUUUCUUAAACUUGGAUCAAUUUUCUCCUGCGUGAAGUUUAAAGUAAUAAAAGCUGAGAAACCAUUUACUCAAUGCCUCCUGUUGCAUAGCAAUCUAAACAAACAAGCCCCUUUUUUUCUGUUAAGAACUU
Hipposideros armiger (great roundleaf bat) is the source of this 1089-nucleotide long non-coding RNA. RefSeq lists it as uncharacterized. The transcript has 3 exons. The record is from RefSeq and is a predicted model, not a curated record. NCBI's taxonomy places the organism in Eukaryota, Metazoa, Chordata, Mammalia, Chiroptera, Hipposideridae.